CCAGCCAUGCCGCGUGUGUGAAGAAGGUCUUCGGAUUGGAAAGCAGUUUUUGUUGGGAGGAAGGGUAGUAACUUAGUACGUUGCUGCUUUGACGUUACCGACAGAAUACGCACCGGCUAACUCUGUGCCCGCCGCCGCGGUAAUACAA
Molecule: ribosomal RNA, 148 nt
Filed under: uncultured Pseudomonas sp.
Lineage: Bacteria; Pseudomonadati; Pseudomonadota; Gammaproteobacteria; Pseudomonadales; Pseudomonadaceae
Description: partial 16S ribosomal RNA
Rfam family: Bacterial small subunit ribosomal RNA
Source: RNAcentral